Small nuclear RNA from Artibeus jamaicensis (Jamaican fruit-eating bat), 107 nucleotides. NCBI's taxonomy places the organism in Eukaryota, Metazoa, Chordata, Mammalia, Chiroptera, Phyllostomidae. The record is from RefSeq and is a predicted model, not a curated record.
GUGCUCGCUUCGGCAGCACAUAUACUAAAAUUGGAACGAUACAGAGAAGAUUAGAAUGGCCCCUGUGCAAGGAUGACAUGCAAAUUCAUGAAGCAUUCAUAUUUUUA